RNAcentral lists this ribosomal RNA (252 nucleotides) under uncultured Bacteroidales bacterium. Its description in RNAcentral is "partial 16S ribosomal RNA". It matches the Rfam family "Bacterial small subunit ribosomal RNA", at positions 524 to 776 of the family's 1533-position model. The record is from RNAcentral. Lineage: Bacteria; Pseudomonadati; Bacteroidota; Bacteroidia; Bacteroidales.
UACGGAGGAUGCGAGCGUUAUCCGGAUUUAUUGGGUUUAAAGGGUGCGUAGGCGGGCAUUUAAGUCAGCGGUCAAAUCGUGGGGCUCAACCCCAUCCAGCCGUUGAAACUGGGGAUCUAGAGUGUGCGAGAGGUAUGCGGAAUGCGUGGUGUAGCGGUGAAAUGCAUAGAUAUAACUUAGAACUCCGAUAGCGAAGGCAGCUUACCAGACUGCGACUGACGCUGAAGCACGAGAGCGUGGGUAGCGAACAGG